CUCUCAUACCCGCGUCCGCUUCUCAAACCAGAAAGAAAGCCGUGUUCACCGAAGAGAAGUCCGAAAGAGAGAGGUCUCAGAGAUCAUAGUCGUCUUCUUUAAUUGUCGGACAAGUUUACACCAGUACCAGGUUGUUUGGAGGAAGCUCCCUACGGCAUUUGAUGAGCUCCCUAAGAUUUACGGGAUGAAGCUCUGGGCAUAAUCCUUCAGCUCAGCUUUUGCGAUCCCAAAUCUUCAUCGGUGAAUUUUGCGUUAAACUUAAUAUUAUGAAUGCUGGCCUUGUAGGUAGUGGCAUUGAAAUGGUUUCAGUAGUCAACAUAGAUAUGACGUCAGACAUGGAGGGCCGAUCAGCUGC
Molecule: non-coding RNA, 355 nt
Organism: Prunus avium (sweet cherry)
Lineage: Eukaryota; Viridiplantae; Streptophyta; Magnoliopsida; Rosales; Rosaceae
Source: RefSeq, a predicted model, not a curated record